RNAcentral lists this ribosomal RNA (793 nucleotides) under Celeribacter sp. RNAcentral describes it as "bacterial SSU rRNA". It matches the Rfam family "Bacterial small subunit ribosomal RNA", at positions 93 to 922 of the family's 1533-position model. The record is from RNAcentral. Lineage: Bacteria; Pseudomonadati; Pseudomonadota; Alphaproteobacteria; Rhodobacterales; Roseobacteraceae.
UAGUGGCGGACGGGUUAGUAACGCGUGGGAACGUACCCUUCCACUACGGAAUAGUCCCGGGAAACUGGGUUUAAUACCGUAUACGCCCUUCGGGGGAAAGAAUUUCGGUGAGGGAUCGGCCCGCGUUAGAUUAGUUAGUUGGUGGGGUAAUGGCCUACCAAGACUACGAUCUAUAGCUGGUUUGAGAGGAUGAUCAGCAACACUGGGACUGAGACACGGCCCAGACUCCUACGGGAGGCAGCAGUGGGGAAUCUUAGACAAUGGGGGCAACCCUGAUCUAGCGAUGCCGCGUGAGUGAUGAAGGCCUUAGGGUCGUAAAGCUCUUUCGCCUGUGAUGAUAAUGACAGUAGCAGGUAAAGAAACCCCGGCUAACUCCGUGCCAGCAGCCGCGGUAAUACGGAGGGGGUUAGCGUUGUUCGGAAUUACUGGGCGUAAAGCGCACGUAGGCGGAUUAGUCAGUCAGAGGUGAAAUCCCAGGGCUCAACCCUGGAACUGCCUUUGAUACUGCUAGUCUUGAGUUCGAGAGAGGUAAGUGGAAUUCCGAGUGUAGAGGUGAAAUUCGUAGAUAUUCGGAGGAACACCAGUGGCGAAGGCGGCUUACUGGCUCGAUACUGACGCUGAGGUGCGAAAGUGUGGGGAGCAAACAGGAUUAGAUACCCUGGUAGUCCACACCGUAAACGAUGAAUGCCAGUCGUCGGGUAGCAUGCUAUUCGGUGACACACCUAACGGAUUAAGCAUUCCGCCUGGGGAGUACGGUCGCAAGAUUAAAACUCAAAGGAAUUGACGGGGGCCC